Molecule: ribosomal RNA, 266 nt
Filed under: uncultured bacterium
Lineage: Bacteria
Description: partial small subunit ribosomal RNA
Rfam family: Bacterial small subunit ribosomal RNA
Source: RNAcentral
AGGACGAACGCUGGCGGCGUGCUUAACACAUGCAAGUCGAACGGUGACCUCGGAGCUUGCUCCGGGUGAUCAGUGGCGAACGGGUGAGUAACACGUGAGCAACCUGCCCCUGGCUCUGGGAUAACUCCGGGAAACCGGAGCUAAUACCGGAUACGAGACCGAUUGGCAUCUUUACGGUCUGGAAAGUUUUUCGGCCAGGGAUGGGCUCGCGGCCUAUCAGCUUGUUGGUGGGGUAAUGGCCCACCAAGGCGACGACGGGUAGCCGG